UUCCUUUUGACAUCAUCUC
RNAcentral lists this small nuclear RNA (19 nucleotides) under Arabidopsis thaliana (thale cress). Its description in RNAcentral is "snRNA_14856". Lineage: Eukaryota; Viridiplantae; Streptophyta; Magnoliopsida; Brassicales; Brassicaceae. The record is from RNAcentral.